RNAcentral lists this long non-coding RNA (398 nucleotides) under Mytilus galloprovincialis (Mediterranean mussel). Lineage: Eukaryota; Metazoa; Mollusca; Bivalvia; Mytilida; Mytilidae. The record is from RNAcentral.
GUUCGGUAAACAGGAAGUUGUCGAGUGAUGAAUCUGAAAACGCAUCACACGGUAUAGCUGACUUAUAUAAAUCCUGAAACCAAAUUUCAGAAAUCCUUGUAUUGUAGUUCCUGAGAAAAAUAUGACGAAAAUUUUCAACUUGGCUAUCAUGUGUAAAAUCAGACAAGUGUUCGGUAAACAGGAAGUUGUCAAGUGAGGAAUCUGAAAACGCAUCACACGGUAUGGCUGACAUAUAUAAAUGUUGAUACCAAAUUACAGAAAGGGUGGAUGUGUAGUUCCUGAGAAAAAUGUGACGAAAGUUUCAUGGGACGGACUGACUGACGGACUGAUGGACGGACUGACGGACGGACUGACGGACUGACAGACAGAGGUAAAACAGUAUACCCCCUUUUUUUAAA